Rhagoletis pomonella (apple maggot) is the source of this 816-nucleotide long non-coding RNA. RefSeq lists it as uncharacterized. The transcript has 2 exons. NCBI's taxonomy places the organism in Eukaryota, Metazoa, Arthropoda, Insecta, Diptera, Tephritidae. The record is from RefSeq and is a predicted model, not a curated record.
CCGAUUGUCACCUGUAGCAGCUGAUUUAUUUACUUCAUUAUCAACACCAGCCAUACUGUGUUGGCAACCAUGCGGAAAACAAUAACAAUUCUUGCAAUAAAAAACCAGCACAAAACGUAAUUACAAAAAAUUCUGUUGGUGUUUUUAUGUGAAAUUCUUUGGCUUCGCUACAAACGAAGUGGCCAGCAUCAACGAGCAUAGCAGAGGCGUCGACUGGCAAUCGUAAAUGUGAGUUUGAGGUAAAUGGAAGUGAACGUAUUGAGUGCAGUGCGCGCAAAUUGAACGCGUCAGUCAGAAUUUAACGGUACACGCCUUCGGUUGUCAACAUUUAUUAACCGACGGCGGAAGUCGGAAGUUGUGAAAAACACAAACAAAAAAAAAAACAUCAUAGAAUGUAGUAGAGGGGAAGAAAAGGAGAAUUUAAUUUAUAACUGUUAAUCGGAGAGUUUAUAGGUGUGUGUUUGUGAGACAAGUGACUUGAACGGGAGGAAAAUUCCAUAUCAUAAUUAUGCAGUGAGAAAGCAUAUCACAAGUAGAUUCAGCAAAACAAUUUAAACAGCGGAUAAAGUGAAAUAAAAAACAACAAAAUAAAAUAAUAAAACUAUAAACAUUACAGCUACGUGCACUAACCAAACUCGUAGCCCUGUUAAUUUCGAUUUGAAAUUUCAUUUUUAAAUGUUAAUGCCCGUACGGCACGGGAAAAAAGUGACAGUGACAAGUGACGCAACCAAACGUCAACAUUAAUAAAUACAGCAAAUAUUUUGCUAUUUUACUCGCAGUCGAGAAUAACAAAGCGAUACAUUCCAUAAAAAAAAA